AGCGAACGCUGGCGGCAGGCCUAACACAUGCAAGUCGAACGAACCUUUCGGGGUUAGUGGCGGACGGGUGAGUAACACGUGGGAACGUGCCUUUAGGUUCGGAAUAACUCAGGGAAACUUGUGCUAAUACCGAAUGUGCCCUUCGGGGGAAAGAUUAAUCGCCUUUAGAGCGGCCCGCGUCUGAUUAGCUAGUUGGUUGAGGUAAUGGCUCACCAAGGCGACGAUCAGUAGCUGGUCUGAGAGGAUGAUCAGCCACAUUGGGACUGAGACACGGCCCAAACUCCUACGGGAGGCAGCAGUGGGGAAUCUUGCGCAAUGGGCGAAAGCGUGACGCAGCCAUGCCGCGUGAAUGAUGAAGGUCUUAGGAUUGUAAAAUUCUUUCGCCGGGGACGAUAAUGACGGUACCCGGAGAAGAAGCCCCGGCUAACUUCGUG
This 434-nucleotide ribosomal RNA is filed under the name uncultured bacterium. Its description in RNAcentral is "partial 16S ribosomal RNA". It matches the Rfam family "Bacterial small subunit ribosomal RNA", at positions 29 to 507 of the family's 1533-position model. The record is from RNAcentral.